ACAAACUUGGUCAUUUAGAGGAAGUAAAAGUCGUAACAAGGUUUCCGUAGGUGAACCUGCGGAAGGAUCAUUAGUGAAUUAAACAUGCUUGGUGUCUUCGCUUCGGCAAGGCCCUUGCUUAAAUCACAUCCUAACACCUGUGAACUGUAAGACGUAUGAUGAGGUCUUUGGCCAAGUCAUCGUCUGCCCAUUUUUAACAAACAAUUAAUGUAACAAACGUAGUCUUAUUAUAACCUAAUAAAACUUUCAACAACGGAUCUCUUGGCUCUCGCAUCGAUGAAGAACGCAGC
This 290-nucleotide unclassified non-coding RNA is filed under the name uncultured fungus. Its description in RNAcentral is "partial contains small subunit ribosomal RNA, internal transcribed spacer 1, and 5.8S ribosomal RNA". The stretch from base 1 to 73 matches the Rfam family "Eukaryotic small subunit ribosomal RNA", at positions 1759 to 1831 of the family's 1831-position model. Lineage: Eukaryota; Fungi. The record is from RNAcentral.